Molecule: ribosomal RNA, 466 nt
Filed under: uncultured bacterium
Lineage: Bacteria
Description: bacterial SSU rRNA
Rfam family: Bacterial small subunit ribosomal RNA
Source: RNAcentral
AUUGAACGCUGGCGGCAUGCCUUACACAUGCAAGUCGAACGGCAGCACGGGAGCAAUCCUGGUGGCGAGUGGCGAACGGGUGAGUAAUAUAUCGGAACGUGCCCGGUCGUGGGGAUAACGUAGCGAAAGCUACGCUAAUACCGCAUACGAUCUACGGAUGAAAGCGGGGGAUCGCAAGACCUCGCGCGAUUGGAGCGGCCGAUAUCAGAUUAGGUAGUUGGUGAGGUAAAGGCUCACCAAGCCGACGAUCUGUAGCUGGUCUGAGAGGACGACCAGCCACACUGGGACUGAGACACGGCCCAGACUCCUACGGGAGGCAGCAGUGGGGAAUUUUGGGACAAUGGGCGCAAGCCUGAUCCAGCAAUGCCGCGUGCAGGAUGAAAGCCUUCGGGUUGUAAACUGCUUUGUACGGAACGAAACGGUGAGCUCUAAUACAGUUUGCUAAUGACGGUACCGUAAGAAUAAG